AUACCGGCGGCCCGAGUGGUGGCCGCUAUUAUUGGGCCUAAAGCGUCCGUAGCCGGGCCCGUAAGUCCCUGGCGAAAUCCCACGGCUCAACCGUGGGGCUUGCUGGGGAUACUGCGGGCCUUGGGACCGGGAGAGGCCGGGGUACCCCUGGGGUAGGGGUGAAAUCCUAUAAUCCCAGGGGGACCGCCAGUGGCGAAGGCGCCCGGUUGGAACGGGUCCGACGGUGAGGGACGAAGGCCAGGGGUGCGAACCGGAUUAGAUACCCGAGUAGUCC
RNAcentral lists this ribosomal RNA (274 nucleotides) under uncultured bacterium. RNAcentral's name for it is "partial 16S ribosomal RNA". It matches the Rfam family "Archaeal small subunit ribosomal RNA", at positions 473 to 747 of the family's 1478-position model. The record is from RNAcentral.